CAAACGCUGGCGGCGUGCCUAACACAUGCAAGUCGUACGAGAAAGUCGGCUUCGGCCGAUGAGUACAGUGGCGCACGGGUGAGUAACGCGUGGGUAAUCUGCCCCCCGGUCAGGAAUAACCCGCCGAAAGGCGGGCUAAUACCCGAUAACACUGACGCUCUGCGGAGUGUCUUUCAAAGAAGGCCUCUGUUUACAAGCUUUCACCGGAGGAUGAGCCCGCGUACCAUUAGCUAGUUGGCAGGGUAAUGGCCUACCAAGGCAACGAUGGUUAGCUGGUCUGAGAGGAUGGCCAGCCACACUGGAACUGAGACACGGUCCAGACUCCUACGGGAGGCAGCAGUGAGGAAUCUUGCGCAAUGGGGGAAACCCUGACGCAGCAACGCCGCGUGAGUGAGGAAGGCCUUUCGGGUCGUAAAGCUCUGUCAGAUGGGAAGAAAUGGUUGGAAGUUAAUACCUUCCAUCCUUGACGGUACCAUCAGAGGAAGCACCGGCUAACUCCGUGCCAGCAGCUGC
Molecule: ribosomal RNA, 513 nt
Filed under: uncultured bacterium
Lineage: Bacteria
Description: bacterial SSU rRNA
Rfam family: Bacterial small subunit ribosomal RNA
Source: RNAcentral